ACUAAAUAGAUACCCGGGUAGUCCACGCCCUAAACGAUGAUUACUCGACAUACGCGAUACACAGUGUGUGUCUGAGCGAAAGCAUUAAGUAAUCCACCUGGGAAGUACGUCCGCAAGGAUGAAACUCAAAGGAAUUGACGGGGGUCGGCACAAGCGGUGGAGUAUGUGGUUUAAUUACGAUGAUACGCGAGGAACCGUUACCUGGGCGUAGAAUAGCUAUCUGACUGUACCUGAAAGGGUAUUUGUUAGCAAUACACAGAUAGUAAGGUGCUGCAUGGCUGUCGUCAGCUCGUGCCGUGAGGUGUUGGG
This 309-nucleotide ribosomal RNA is filed under the name uncultured bacterium. RNAcentral's name for it is "bacterial SSU rRNA". It matches the Rfam family "Bacterial small subunit ribosomal RNA", at positions 772 to 1079 of the family's 1533-position model. The record is from RNAcentral.